RNAcentral lists this ribosomal RNA (253 nucleotides) under uncultured bacterium. RNAcentral's name for it is "partial 16S ribosomal RNA". It matches the Rfam family "Bacterial small subunit ribosomal RNA", at positions 524 to 776 of the family's 1533-position model. The record is from RNAcentral.
UACGUAGGGUGCAAGCGUUGUCCGGAAUUAUUGGGCGUAAAGAGCUCGUAGGCGGUCUGUCGCGUCUGCUGUGAAAACUCGGGGCUUAACCCCGGGCCUGCAGUGGGUACGGGCAGACUAGAGUGCGGUAGGGGAGACUGGAAUUCCUGGUGUAGCGGUGAAAUGCGCAGAUAUCAGGAGGAACACCGGUGGCGAAGGCGGGUCUCUGGGCCGUAACUGACGCUGAGGAGCGAUAGCAUGGGGAGCGAACGGG